Molecule: RNA transcript, 2444 nt
Organism: Cornus florida
Lineage: Eukaryota; Viridiplantae; Streptophyta; Magnoliopsida; Cornales; Cornaceae
Gene name: protein DETOXIFICATION 45, chloroplastic-like
Exons: 16
Source: RefSeq, a predicted model, not a curated record
AAAAUACAAAUAGAAAAAAAGAAAAGAAAAAAAGUGACCUUUCAUGUUAAAUGUAUAUUUGAAAGUCCGCUCGUCGGUUUUCGUUAUAGAGGUUGGUCGGGGUUAGGUAGCUCCAUUAUUGGGUACCCAAUAAUUUUUCCCGCUGCAUUGUGACACUGACGCAGCGUCGGUUAUCGUUAUAUCCUCUGAACGCUCGUACUAAUAAUUAACAGCUUUAUUCCGAUCUCUCUCAAACCCUAGUGUCCAACAAACAAAGAUCGAAAUAAUACCAAUUCUUGAACAAUGGCGGUUGCACAACUGGGUGGCGAGGCGCUGUUUGAUGGAUUGACCAGUAGAAGUAGUGGGUGGAACCCAAUUCAGAAGGUGACAAACGCGAUUUGUUCAGGACGAGCACGAGGAGUUUCCAGUUCUGUUAUGUUAAUUAAUAGGAAGAGAUUGAUCCACGGAAAUGUUGUUUGGGAUUGCAAUCUGUUCUCAAACCACACAUCAAUGUCGGUGCAUUCAAUACCGAGUUUUUGCAGAAGAAGGCGUGUUUUUCCCAUGGUCAGUUGUCAGUUGAGUUCUGAUUGUGGCAUUCACUCUUCUGAUUUGCAGCAGAUUUCUGGUACAGAAGAACAUUUGCUCCCAAGUUUUAGCGGAGAAGUUUAUGAGACAGAGAUUCUUCCUACUCAGGAUGUCAAACGUGAGCUUAUAAUGCUUUCUUUGCCUGCAAUUGCUGGACAGGCUAUUGAACCAUUGGCACAACUGAUGGAGACAGCAUAUAUUGGUAGAUUGGGCCCUUUGGAGUUGGCUUCAGCUGGCGUGUCCAUAUCAAUCUUUAACAUUAUAUCAAAGCUAUUUAACAUCCCUCUCCUCAGUGUUGCAACUUCUUUUGUGGCUGAAGAAAUUUCAAGAAAUGCAAGCAGAGUUCCUAUCCCAGAAGAUUGUGAAAGUAUUAAUGGCAAACCUUUCGAUGGGGUAGUUAAAAGGCAGCAACUAUCCUCUGUGUCUACGGCAUUACUUUUAGCAGUUGGCAUUGGCAUCUUUGAAGCUUUAGCCUUGUCUUUGGGAUCUGGACCGUUACUUAACUUGAUGGGCAUAUCAACAUCUUCCUCCAUGCGUCCUCUGGCACAAAGGUUUCUUUCACUUAGGGCCCUCGGUGCACCUGCAGUUGUAGUUUCUUUGGCUCUUCAAGGCAUUUUUCGUGGUUUCAAGGAUACAAAGACUCCUGUUUUUUGUCUAGGUGUAGGUAAUUUUUCAGCUAUAUUUUUGUUUCCCAUACUUAUGUAUUAUUUUAGGAUGGGUGUAACUGGAGCAGCCAUUUCGACUAUUCUAUCUCAAUAUAUUGUUACCUUUUUGAUGAUCUGGUAUCUUAAUAAGAGAGCUGUAUUAUUGCCUCCAAAGUUGGGAUCACUACAAUUUGGUGGUUAUAUGAAAUCUGGCGGUUUUCUUCUUGGGAGAACUCUUGCUGUCCUUUUGACCCUAACACUGGCAACAUCAAUGGCUGCUCGGCAAGGUCCAGUAGCUAUGGCUGCUCAUCAAAUAUGCUUACAAGUAUGGUUGGCUGUGUCCCUUCUCACAGAUGCACUUGGGGCAUCUGGUCAGGCCUUGAUUGCAAGUUCUUUUUCAAAAGGAGAUUACAAGAGUGUGAGGGAAAUUACGUACUUUGUGUUAAAGACGGGAUUAUUCACAGGUGUUUUCUUAGCUGUGCUUUUGGGGGCAUCUUUUGGUUCUUUAGCUACCUUGUUUACUAAGGACACAGAAGUUUUAGGAGUUGUUAGAACUGGGGUAUUGUUUGUCAGUGCCAGUCAACCAAUAAAUGCUCUAGCUUUUGUUUUUGAUGGUCUCCAUUAUGGUGUUUCAGAUUUCUCAUAUGCAGCUCAUUCUAUGAUGGUGGUGGGAGCAAUAUCUUCCGUGUUUCUUCUGUAUGCUCCUUCAUUUUUUGGUCUUUACGGUGUUUGGUCGGGCUUGGUUCUCUUAAUGGGAUUGCGUAUGAUGGCAGGAUAUAUCAGAUUAUUGUCGAAAACUGGUCCAUGGUGGUUUCUUUAUGGGGACUUAAAGAGAACUGAGGGGCAAUGGAUUAAGAGGGUUGGAAAAUUGCAAGGAUGAUUCAAAGAAAACCCAGAUUCUGUAUCUCGGCCUACAAUCCAGACAAUGUUCUAGUAAGAGUACGAUGCCAUGGCUACUCCGUUUGGAUGUUGAUAAGGAAUAAUCUGGUAUCCAUAUUGUGUUCACCAGCACUUUGAGAAUGAGUUGCAAGCCUUGGAACAAAAUUAGCUUGUAAGUUGUAACAUUGAAUUCGAUCUUAUGGGCUAUACAGUAAUUUUUGGUUAUCAGUUUAUUUAUUUAUUUAUUUUUCAGCAUUCUUCUUAUAAUCUGAUUGACGCAUCAGAGUAAGAAAAUGCCUGUAAAUCGAAUAGAUUUUUGUUAAAACAUUUAUUACCAGAGAAGGUUAUUUUGAUCAA